AUUCGGUCUCUCUCUGUAUUGCAGAAAACCAGGGGCACUGAAUCCAAAGAAGGACACUUCCGUCCGACAUCUCCACCUCCUCCGAAUUGUGUCAAACUAAGACAGAACACUAAACAUAUUUUGAAGGUCAGCCUGAUUUACCACUGCAAAAGGGCCCAGGAUCCUCCUAAGUCAGGGGAAAACACUCAUUUGCCCCCCUUCUCCAAACUCCAAAGACCAGAGAACUUCCUCUGCUUGCUUUCAACAACCAGUGAUCCAGCAGAAUUUAGCUAAAUCAGUAAGAAGUCACAGAUGUAUCUUGUAAGCAUUCAGAGUUCCCUUUGUCUUAAAGCAUUUCUGCAGUAGCUUUUCAGAAGAACAUCUGUUGUGGCUCACACCAAAGAAUGACCCAUUCCAGCAGGCUGUGAUGGAGGCCAGCAGCAGGCACCUUCCAAGGGUACAAGAAUAAAGCAAGCCUACGGGGACAUUCAUUCAGAAUGCACACCCAGUCCCUAACAACGUGCAGCUCUGGGACUACCUGAGCUACAGAUGGCUUUUCUGUGUUCAGUAAAAGACAGACAGCAGACAUAUAACGGAGAAUCCUUCAUUGUUCAGCACAGUUUUGUCACACACUUGGAAUCUGUCAUGGCGUGGGAAGAUUCUGACACAUGAAGCAAUGCUGUAUCUGAAGAGUUCAAUUCCCACAGGAGCUCUCUGGAGUUCAGCAUCUUUAUUGCUCUUCAAGAAGAUAAAAAGCAAACAGCAAAGGAAAAGGAGCGAGGGAAGGAAGGUCCAAAUCCCCGCUGCAAGCUAAGAGCUCCUAUGGGAACCAAAAUAACACAGGAAGGGCUGCAAUCCACAAAGCUUGGCUUCACUGAGCCCUGGCUAGUCUGUCUUCAGGAGAAGCCAGGCAAGGCCAGCUGACUGGAAAACAACCCAGCAAGAGUCACCACACAGCAAAAUUAUCAAGGAGCCCCUGGCAGCUUGUCCCAGGGGUG
Molecule: long non-coding RNA, 977 nt
Organism: Neopelma chrysocephalum (saffron-crested tyrant-manakin)
Lineage: Eukaryota; Metazoa; Chordata; Aves; Passeriformes; Pipridae
Exons: 5
Source: RefSeq, a predicted model, not a curated record